GUGGUGGUGGAGGAGGUGAAGUUUUACCAAAUGGAGGUGGUGGUGGUGGCGGAGGUCCACUAGAUCCAAAUGGAGGUGGUGGUGGUGGUGGUGGAGGUCUAGUAGAUCCAAAUGGAGGUGGAGGAGGUGAAGUUUUACCAAAUGGAGGUGGUGGUGGUGGCGGAGGUCCAGCAGAUCCAAAUGGAGGUGGUGGUGGUGGCGGAGGUGGUGGAGGAGGGGCUCCAUGACUCGGUGGUUGAGGAAUUGAACCUACGUGACCAAAAGGAGGCGGUGGUGGAGGUGGAGGUGGUGGAGGGGCUCCAUGACUCGGUGGUGGAUGAAUUGAACCUACGUGACCAAACGGAGGUGGUGGAGGAGCUCCAUGACUCGGUGGCUGUGGAGGAGGAGGAACUGAACUUACGUGACCAAAAGGAGGAGCAGUUGGAGAUCCAUAACUUGGUGGCGGAGGUGGAGGGAUAGGGACUGACUGCGCUUUACUAAAAGGAGGAGGAGGAGGUGGUGGUGGUGGAGGUGGAGGAGCAGCAGAAAAACCGUUAAUAAGAGACGUCUUGGGUGAUGGCGAAGGUGCAAUACUCAUAUAAGGCAACAGGGGAGGAGGAGGAAUGUGACCUCCACUGGAUUUUGUUGUAUUUGAUGAACUAAAAGGAGGAGGUGGUGGUGGUGGCGGUGGAGGUGGUGGAGAAUUGUAAGAUGUAGAGCCUUCCUCAUGAGUUUCAAUAAUCGAAGCAUACCCAGGCUUCCACGGUGGUGGAGG
This 754-nucleotide long non-coding RNA is filed under the name Brassica napus (rape). Its description in RNAcentral is "long non-coding RNA (BNAP_LNC001053)". Lineage: Eukaryota; Viridiplantae; Streptophyta; Magnoliopsida; Brassicales; Brassicaceae. The record is from RNAcentral.